GGAAUUUUGGACAAUGGGGGCAACCCUGAUCCAGCCAUUCCGCGUGAGUGAAGAAGGCCUUCGGGUUGUAAAGCUCUUUCGCAAGGGAAGAAAACUUAUGAUCGAAUAAAUCAUGAGGCUGACGGUACCUUGAUAAGAAGCACCGGCUAACUACGUGCCAGCAGCCGCGGUAAUACGUAGGGUGCGAGCGUUAAUCGGAAUUACUGGGCGUAAAGCGUGCGCAGGCGGUUUUGUAAGUCGGAUGUGAAAUCCCCGGGCUCAACCUGGGAACUGCGUUCGAAACUGCAAGGCUAGAGUGUGUCAGAGGGGGGUAGAAUUCCACGUGUAGCAGUGAAAUGCGUAGAGAUGUGGAGGAAUACCAAUGGCGAAGGCAGCCCCCUGGGAUAACACUGACGCUCAUGCACGAAAGCGUGGGGAGCAAACAGGAUUAGAUACCCUGGUAGUCCACGCCCUAAACGAUGUCAGCUAGUUGUUGGUAGAGUAAAAUCUAUGAGUAACGUAGCUAACGCGUGAAGUUGACCGCCUGGGGAGUACGGUCGCAAGAUUAAAACUCAAAUGAAUUGACGG
RNAcentral lists this ribosomal RNA (567 nucleotides) under uncultured bacterium. RNAcentral's name for it is "bacterial SSU rRNA". It matches the Rfam family "Bacterial small subunit ribosomal RNA", at positions 358 to 916 of the family's 1533-position model. The record is from RNAcentral.